Molecule: ribosomal RNA, 293 nt
Filed under: uncultured bacterium
Lineage: Bacteria
Description: partial 16S ribosomal RNA
Rfam family: Bacterial small subunit ribosomal RNA
Source: RNAcentral
GGAUUAGAUACCCUGGUAGUCCACGCCGUAAACGAUGUCGACCAGCCGUUGGGUGCCUAGAGCACUUUGUGGCGAAGUUAACGCGAUAAGUCGACCGCCUGGGGAGUACGGCCGCAAGGUUAAAACUCAAAUGAAUUGACGGGGGCCCGCACAAGCGGUGGAGCAUGUGGUUUAAUUCGAUGCAACGCGAAGAACCUUACCUACCCUUGACAUCUACAGAAGCCGGAAGAGAUUCUGGUGUGCCUUCGGGAACUGUAAGACAGGUGCUGCAUGGCUGUCGUCAGCUCGUGCCG